Lagenorhynchus albirostris (white-beaked dolphin) is the source of this 645-nucleotide long non-coding RNA. RefSeq lists it as uncharacterized. Lineage: Eukaryota; Metazoa; Chordata; Mammalia; Artiodactyla; Delphinidae. The record is from RefSeq and is a predicted model, not a curated record. The transcript is spliced from 3 exons.
AACCUGUGUCCCCUGCAGUGGAAGCAGGAGUCCUGACCUCUGGACCGCCAGCAUACACAGAAAAGUGCCUCCCCAAAAUCAAAACCAACAAAUAUACAAAUGAAUGGAUAAAGUGAACAGCUAACCAGGUCAAGAAUUAGAACCUGCGUGUAUCCUUUCCCAUUCACAGCACUUUCUCCCCCUUAAGAGGAUACAACUCAGGAACAGCCAGACGAAGGAGAUGCACAGGGCAAGGUAAGGGGGAGGAGGAACUCAGAGCUUCCAGGCUCUCUCCCAGCAUGUCACCCCCCCUUCCCAGCACCUUGAUGUGUUCACCAACCCAGAAGCUCUCCGAAUCCCACUGCUUAUGGAUUUUUCUGGAAGUUUCAUCACUUAAGCAUGAUUGAUUAAAUCAUUGGCCAUUGGUGAUUAAUUCAACCUCCAGCCCCUCUCCCCCAUUAUACUGACUAUACAAUAAAAGCCAAAACAAUGUAGAUGCUGCCAAGGUAACCUGCAGGACCACCAUGUAUACCAGCCACAGGGGGGUCCGUGACGACUCUGCAGAGCUGUUCUUGACCUGUUCACCUAUUUCAGAGAGAGAAAGGCAGAUGUAGGGUGUACGUAUAUGUGCAUGAGUACGUGUAAAAACAACCAUUUAUGUCAACU